AUCAGCAAAAUUUCGAAACCAUAUUCUGUUCCAAAAUGCAGAUCGUCGUGAAAUUGCUGAUUGUCCUUUUGGCUUUAUUUGCUGGUGUAUCUAGCACAACGUACAUACCAAGCUUUUGCGAUUUUGGUUUUGACAAUGACUACAAUAGCAUAGUCCACCGCUGCCGGCCAAUCCCCCAUUUUAAAUAGAGAAGCUACCAUUGAGCUAAUGAAGUUCAAAUGUAGAUGUUUCCAAUGUCCAAUAAAAAAGUA
RNAcentral lists this unclassified non-coding RNA (251 nucleotides) under Drosophila yakuba. RNAcentral describes it as "GE28910". Lineage: Eukaryota; Metazoa; Arthropoda; Insecta; Diptera; Drosophilidae. The record is from RNAcentral.